GUUAAAAUCGUCAGUUUCUUGGAGUCUGUGACACUGCAUGUCCAUAUCUUAGUGAUUCAAAAUCUUUUUUUAAGAGAACAUUUCAUGUAAUAAAAUGGUUGCCAUAAAUCCGGUAAAUGUAAUUCGUUUACUUAUGAUUACAUUCAGCGGGACGGAUGACAAUUAAACACCAAUUAAUAACCGUCAACAAGAACGUCACGAUAUAUUAAAAGAUGCGCUGACCAAAUUCUGUGGAAUUUGUGGACGACAUAUUUUCACCUAUUGACGAGGAAGUUGCAGAACCUGUAGAAGAUCUUGUGUCGCACAAGAAGGAGGUAUUGUGACGUUAGAAUACAAAGGAAAUGCUGUUGCAUAUUGGAAAAGUGGAAAAAGAAAACAACUUUGAUUAGAAAAUGUGUAGCAUAAGUUCCAAACAGUUCAAUCGAUUCAGCAAUUGUACAGAUACCAGGACCAGCAUCAAUCCUCCUAACAUAACCCGAUGUAUUAUCACCCUUCGUCGGGACAGAAAUCAAGACUUUAUUUCGAGGAGGCAACUCAUAUGAUGAGAAGAUGGGAGUGCGUAAUUUCUCUUCAUCAAAUUCCACAAGGCAUGGAAAAUUCUUUCUAAACCUCACUGUACCUCGUCGUUUUUCCAAAAAUGACGUCCCCAAAAUUCCGGCCUCCCUAACAGGAAAAUCAUCUUCUACCACCUGAAAAUGUACAAGGAUGCCAUGCACGCAAAUAAUUACAUCACUCCAUGUCCGGACCGUACCUGUGCUAAUACCAGUUAAGUUGCGAGCCGGUGUCUACAAGGAAUUUAGCUAGACCAUUCCGAAAAUGUUCGUGCUCUAAAGGAAUAAACGGUGAUUGUGUGACCUGUUUCAAACUGAUUUCGCGGCAAACGCGGUGGAUGCGGCGCGAGAGAUAAGGGGUUCCCUUCGUGCUGCGCCCGUCGACGAAACCCCCUUUGAAUUUAAAGGGUUUUCCUGAUUCCUAGAAGUUGAAGGAAUUGAUGGUCGCGAUGUCUUCCAACCAUGAUUUGCAUCACCUACCACAUUCCUGUAGAUGUGGUGCUGCAUCCGACUUCGAAUCAACGCGAGCAAAUAAACUUUAUCAUCCCCUUUAACCAAAGAAUCAGCAAAUCUACACUGUACAAUGAAGUGGCUCACCGAGGACGGUUUACCAUCAAAAUGAGGUGUAUGGUCCCAUCCGUCGGCGACCCGUUGAGCAGGUUAACCUUAGUUUGUGAGAAGGUCCUCAGGUACUUGGGUCGAUGGUCUCCAGCUCCGCAACAGGUACUCCAAUAAAAUCCGUCUGCAGUCAGCUGCUUCAAAUUACAAAAGUGAUCCGAUAAUAUCGUGGACGAGGUGCGUGUGAUUCCGGUGGAUGGCUUGCACGGAAGCCGAAAUCACCUGUCUCCGGUAAUUACCCUUUCGCCCUUGGGGAAACCGCGUCAAAACCCAAGAAGGAGAAGUUGCACAAUUUUAACUUUGUCCACUUAUUUGUAUUGUUCAAUAAAAUAGUUUGUAAAGUA
This is a non-coding RNA of Osmia lignaria (orchard mason bee), 1513 nucleotides long. Lineage: Eukaryota; Metazoa; Arthropoda; Insecta; Hymenoptera; Megachilidae. The record is from RefSeq and is a predicted model, not a curated record.